GAUGAACGCUAGCGGCAGGCCUAACACAUGCAAGUCGAACGGUAACAGGGAUUGCUUGCAAUCCGCUGACGAGUGGCGCACGGGUGCGUAACGCGUAUAGAACCUACCCUUUACAGGGGGAUAGCCCGGAGAAAUUCGGAUUAAUACCCCAUGGUAAUGCUUCGGGCAUCCUGAAGUGUUUAAAGUUUCGGCGGUAAAGGAUGGUUAUGCGUCUUAUUAGUUAGUAGGUGAGGUAACGGCUCACCUAGACAGCGAUAAGUAGGGGCCCUGAGAGGGGGAUCCCCACACUGGUACUGAGACACGGACCAGACUCCUACGGGAGGCAGCAGUGAGGAAUAUUGGACAAUGGUCGAGAGACUGAUCCAGCCAUGCCGCGUGCAGGAAGACGGCCCUAUGGGUUGUAAACUGCUUUUUUACGGGAAGAAUAAUGCCCACGUGUGGGCAGAUGACGGUACCGUAGGAAUAAGGACCGGCUAACUCCGUG
This 484-nucleotide ribosomal RNA is filed under the name uncultured bacterium. Its description in RNAcentral is "bacterial SSU rRNA". It matches the Rfam family "Bacterial small subunit ribosomal RNA", at positions 28 to 507 of the family's 1533-position model. The record is from RNAcentral.